This 72-nucleotide transfer RNA is filed under the name Laccaria bicolor S238N-H82. Its description in RNAcentral is "tRNA-His (GTG) (tRNA-His-GTG-4-1)". It matches the Rfam family "tRNA". From Rfam's summary of the family: Transfer RNA (tRNA) molecules are approximately 80 nucleotides in length. Their secondary structure includes four short double-helical elements and three loops (D, anti-codon, and T loops). Further hydrogen bonds mediate the characteristic L-shaped molecular structure. tRNAs have two regions of fundamental functional importance: the anti-codon, which is responsible for specific mRNA codon recognition, and the 3' end, to which the tRNAs corresponding amino acid is attached (by aminoacyl-tRNA synthetases). tRNAs cope with the degeneracy of the genetic code in two manners: having more than one tRNA (with a specific anti-codon) for a particular amino acid; and 'wobble' base-pairing, i.e. permitting non-standard base-pairing at the 3rd anti-codon position. Lineage: Eukaryota; Fungi; Basidiomycota; Agaricomycetes; Agaricales; Hydnangiaceae. The record is from RNAcentral.
GUCCUUGUUGAUUAGUGGUGAAAUCAUCUCGUUGUGGUCGAGAUGCCGGAAGUUCAAAUCCUCCCUGGGACA